This 500-nucleotide ribosomal RNA is filed under the name uncultured bacterium. RNAcentral's name for it is "partial 16S ribosomal RNA". It matches the Rfam family "Bacterial small subunit ribosomal RNA", at positions 30 to 523 of the family's 1533-position model. The record is from RNAcentral.
AUUGAACGCUGGCGGAAUGCUUUACACAUGCAAGUCGAACGGCAGCACGGACUUCGGUCUGGUGGCGAGUGGCGAACGGGUGAGUAAUGUAUCGGAACGUGCCCAGUCGUGGGGGAUAACGUAGUGAAAAUUACGCUAAUACCGCGUACGAUCUAUGGAUGAAAGCGGGGGAUCGCAAGACCUCGCGCGAUUGGAGCGGCCGAUAUCAGAUUAGGUAGUUGGUGGGGUAAAGGCCCACCAAGCCAACGAUCUGUAGCUGGUCUGAGAGGACGACCAGCCACACUGGAACUGAGACACGGUCCAGACUCCUACGGGAGUCAGCAGUGGGGAAUUUUGGACAAUGGGCGAAAGCCUGAUCCAGCCAUUCCGCGUGCAGGAUGAAGGCCCUCGGGUUGUAAACUGCUUUUGUACAGAACGAAAGGGUUUCUACUAAUACUAGGAGCUCAUGACGGUACUGUAAGAAUAAGCACCGGCUAACUACGUGCCAGCCGCCGCCGUAA